AUUGAACGCUGGCGGCAGGCCUAACACAUGCAAGUCGAGCGGAUGAAGGGAGCUUGCUCCUGGAUUCAGCGGCGGACGGGUGAGUAAUGCCUAGGAAUCUGCCUGGUAGUGGGGGAUAACGUCCGGAAACGGGCGCUAAUACCGCAUACGUCCUGAGGGAGAAAGUGGGGGAUCUUCGGACCUCACGCUAUCAGAUGAGCCUAGGUCGGAUUAGCUAGUUGGUGGGGUAAAGGCCUACCAAGGCGACGAUCCGUAACUGGUCUGAGAGGAUGAUCAGUCACACUGAAACGGAACAAGGCUCAACCGCCAACGGGGAGGCGGCAUGGGGGAAUUUUGAACAUGGGGAGAAGCCAUAAUCCAGCCGUGCGGCGGGUGUGAAAGGGGUCUUGGAUUAUAAAGGUAUUUAAAGUUGGGAGAAAGGACAGUAAUUUAAUCCUUUGUUGUUUUGACGUUCCAAAAAAAAUAGGCACCGGCUAGCUCGCCG
This 484-nucleotide ribosomal RNA is filed under the name uncultured bacterium. RNAcentral describes it as "partial 16S ribosomal RNA". It matches the Rfam family "Bacterial small subunit ribosomal RNA", at positions 30 to 507 of the family's 1533-position model. The record is from RNAcentral.